This 768-nucleotide ribosomal RNA is filed under the name Cymbasoma sp. 01. RNAcentral's name for it is "eukaryotic LSU rRNA". It matches the Rfam family "Eukaryotic large subunit ribosomal RNA", at positions 70 to 814 of the family's 3401-position model. The record is from RNAcentral. Lineage: Eukaryota; Metazoa; Arthropoda; Copepoda; Monstrilloida; Monstrillidae.
AGUGAUGCCUCUAGUAAUGGCGAAUGAAACAGGCAGAGUCCAGCACUGAACCACUGGUAUCCUACCAUGUGGAAUGUAGUGUUUGAGAGUGCCUCAUCACUUGACUUUGAUCAGCCCAAGUGCACCUUGACUGGGACCAUAGCCCAUAGAGGGUGAUAGGCCCGUAAGGCGGUCAUUGUCUUGUGCUGGCAUCUUCUCUAGAGUCGAGUUGCUUGGGAGUGCAGCUCAAAGCGCGAGGUAAACUCCUCGUAAGACUAAAUAUUGUCCCAAGUCCGAUAGCGAACAAGUACCGUGAGGGAAAGUUGAAAAGGACUUUGAAGAGAGAGUUCAAGAGUACGUGAAACUGCAUAGUGGUAAACAGAGGCGUUCUCGAAGUUUGGAGUGAUGAUUCAGGUCUUUGACGCGAGUCAAUGGCUGUAUUUCGUCACGUCUGUACACAACGGGCCAUUGACUUUGAUCAUGGCUGGUGAGAGAUGUAGUUCUCUGCCAUGUUCGCUUUCAUAGUCGAUGGUCGUAUCUUACCCGCUCAUGAGUGGGUAAGUGAUGUUGUGAGUAGGUCGGCGGCGUCUCUGACCCGUCUUGAAACACGGACCAAGGAGUCUAACCUGUGUGCAAGUCGCAGAGUGGACUAAACUCUAGGGCACAGUGAAAGCAAAGGAUAUCAUUGGAUGUCUGAAGGACGAGCGCAGCUCUAUUUGAGUUGCGUGCAGUCCUGGCGUUUUGCAUUGACACGUCUCAAGCAGAACAGCUAGAGCACACAUGUUGGGA